AUCUUGACUGUACAAAGGUAGCAUAAUCAUUAGUUUUUUAAUUGAAAGCUGGAAUGAAUGGCUGAAUAAGGAAAUGACUGUCUCUUUUUAAUUAAGUUGAACUUUAUUUUUAAGUUAAAAAGCUUAAAUUUAAUAAAAAGACGAGAAGACCCUAUAGAGUUUAAUAGGUUUAUAUUUUUAUAAUUUAGGAUUUUAUCAUAUAAUAAUAUUAACUUAUUUAGUUGGGGUGACUAUUGAAUUUAAUAAACUUCAUUUUUGUAAUCAUUGAUUUAUGAAUAAAUGAUCCUAGUGUUUAGAUUAAAAGAAUAAAUUACCUUAGGGAUAACAGCGUAAUUCUUUUGGAGAGCUCUUAUCGAUAAAAGAGAUUGCGACCUCGAUGUUGGAUUAAAGUUUAUUUUUGGUGCAGAAGCUAAAAUAUUAAGACUGUUCGAC
This 432-nucleotide ribosomal RNA is filed under the name Zonitis ballionis. Its description in RNAcentral is "partial large subunit ribosomal RNA". It matches the Rfam family "Bacterial large subunit ribosomal RNA", at positions 1939 to 2585 of the family's 2925-position model. Lineage: Eukaryota; Metazoa; Arthropoda; Insecta; Coleoptera; Meloidae. The record is from RNAcentral.